Molecule: transfer RNA, 92 nt
Filed under: Leuconostoc mesenteroides
Lineage: Bacteria; Bacillati; Bacillota; Bacilli; Lactobacillales; Lactobacillaceae
Also listed under: 1 other name
Description: tRNA-Ser
Rfam family: tRNA
About the family: Transfer RNA (tRNA) molecules are approximately 80 nucleotides in length. Their secondary structure includes four short double-helical elements and three loops (D, anti-codon, and T loops). Further hydrogen bonds mediate the characteristic L-shaped molecular structure. tRNAs have two regions of fundamental functional importance: the anti-codon, which is responsible for specific mRNA codon recognition, and the 3' end, to which the tRNAs corresponding amino acid is attached (by aminoacyl-tRNA synthetases). tRNAs cope with the degeneracy of the genetic code in two manners: having more than one tRNA (with a specific anti-codon) for a particular amino acid; and 'wobble' base-pairing, i.e. permitting non-standard base-pairing at the 3rd anti-codon position.
Source: RNAcentral
GGAGCUAUGGCACAAUCCGGUACUGCAACGGACUCGAAAUCCGUCGAGCCGCAUUUCGCGGUGUGCGGGUUCAAAUCCCGCUAGCUCCUUCA